CGGGUGAGUAAUACAUCGGAACGUGUCUUCUAGUGGGGGAUAACUGCCCGAAAGGGCAGCUAGUACCGCAUGAGACCUGAGGGUGAAAGCGGGGGAUCGCAAGACCUCGCGCUGGAAGAGCGGCCGAUGUCCGAUUAGCUAGUUGGUGAGGUAAAGGCUCACCAAGGCGACGAUCGGUAGCUGGUCUGAGAGGACGACCAGCCACACUGGGACUGAGACACGGCCCAG
Molecule: ribosomal RNA, 228 nt
Filed under: uncultured bacterium
Lineage: Bacteria
Description: partial 16S ribosomal RNA
Rfam family: Bacterial small subunit ribosomal RNA
Source: RNAcentral